Molecule: long non-coding RNA, 341 nt
Filed under: Setaria viridis
Lineage: Eukaryota; Viridiplantae; Streptophyta; Magnoliopsida; Poales; Poaceae
Description: long non-coding RNA (SVIR_LNC006564)
Source: RNAcentral
AUGCACAAGGGGGCGUAUUUCAUGCAAGAACCUGAGGGAUAUGGGUACCCUAUGGGUCCCUACCAACCUGGAUAUUGGCCGGACCUAACAAGUGGGCCUGCCCGAUCAGGACGUGUGGGUCGAGGACACGAAGUUACUUGGAGUACACGUCAAGGCAACAAGACUGUCCAAAUCUACCCGGACAUCACGGGAUGCGUUUUGUAGUCCAACUCAGAUUGCUUUCCAUGUAACUUCGAGUAGAUUAGAUGCAAACUGACUUGUAAUCCUUGGUCGUCAGCCUAUAUAAGGCGGCUAAGGGCACCCCCCGAGGACAACGAAACUCAUACCAAGCAAUACAAUCC